Molecule: ribosomal RNA, 405 nt
Filed under: uncultured bacterium
Lineage: Bacteria
Description: bacterial SSU rRNA
Rfam family: Bacterial small subunit ribosomal RNA
Source: RNAcentral
CAGGGGAUCUUGGGCAAUGGGCGAAAGCCUGACCCAGCGACACCGCGUGGGGGAAGAAGGCCUUCGGGUCGUAAACCCCUUUUCCGGGGGACGAGCAAGGACGGUACCCCGGGAAGAAGCCCCGGCUAACUACGUGCCAGCAGCCGCGGUAAGACGUAGGGGGCGAGCGUUACCCGGAAUUACUGGGCGUAAAGGGCGUGUAGGUGGCCCGAGAGGUCGUUGGUGAAAGACCCCGGCUCAACCGGGGGGCGGCUGACGAUACCGUCGGGCUAGAGGACAGCAGAGGCGGGUGGAAUUCCCGGUGGAGCGGUGAAAUGCGUAGAUAUCGGGAGGAACACCAGUGGCGAAGGCGGCCCGCUGGGCUGGUCCUGACGCUGAGGCGCGAAAGCGUGGGGAGCGAACCGG